CAUUUAUUUGACGAAGGCUCCAAAGGAAGCCACGGCUAACUCUGUGCCAGCAGCCGCGGUAAUACAGAGGUGGCAAGCGUUGUUCGGAAUUAUUGGGCGUAAAGAGCACGUAGGUGGGUUUGUAAGUCAGAUGUGAAAGCCUUCUGUUCAACGGAAGAAUUGCAUCUGAAACUGCGAGUCUUGAGUGUAGGAGGGGAGAAUGGAACUUCUGGUGGAGCGGUGAAAUGCGUAGAUAUCAGAAGGAACGCCGGCGGCGAAAGCGAUUCUCUGGCCUAUUACUGACGCUCAGUGUGCGAAAGCUAGGGGAGCAAACGGGAUUAGAUACCCCGGUAGUCCUAGCCGUAAACGAUGGGCACUAAGUAGAGGGAAUUACCGAUGUUCUCUCUGCCGUAGCUAACGCAUUAAGUGCCCCGCCUGGGGAGUACGGCCGCAAGGCUAAAACUCAAAAGAAUUGACGGGGGCUCGCACAAGCGGUGGAGCAUGUGGCUUAAUUCGAUGCAACGCGAAGAACCUUACCGGGGCUUGACAUGGUAGAAGUAGGAACCCGAAAGGGUAACGAACGGUAUCCAGUCCGUAACUAUCACAGGUGUUGCAUGGCUGUCGUCAGCUCGUGUCGUGAGACGUUGGGUUAAGUCCCCUAACGAGCGAAACCCUUGUUUUUAGUUACCAGCGGGUUGUGCCGGGUACUCUAGAAAGACYGCCGUCGUCAAGACGGAGGAAGGUGGGGAUGACGUCAAGUCAUCAUGGCCCUUAUGCCCCGGGCUGCACACGUGCUACAAUGGUCGGUACAAACGGAAGCGAAGCCGAGAGGUGAAGCGAAUCCUAAAAAGCCGAUCUCAGUUCGGAUUGGAGGCUGAAAUUCGCCUCCA
RNAcentral lists this ribosomal RNA (869 nucleotides) under uncultured Planctomycetota bacterium. Its description in RNAcentral is "bacterial SSU rRNA". It matches the Rfam family "Bacterial small subunit ribosomal RNA", at positions 462 to 1320 of the family's 1533-position model. Lineage: Bacteria; Pseudomonadati; Planctomycetota. The record is from RNAcentral.